Schistocerca cancellata (South American locust) is the source of this 72-nucleotide non-coding RNA. NCBI's taxonomy places the organism in Eukaryota, Metazoa, Arthropoda, Insecta, Orthoptera, Acrididae. The record is from the annotation of a RefSeq genome assembly.
GCCAACGUGGCGUAGUGGUUAGCGCGUCUGCCUAGGGAGCAGGAGAUGUGGGUUCGAAUCCUAGCUUUGGCA